GGGUCAGUAGGUUGGUCGUGCCACCGGUACGUACUGGUCUCACUGAUUCCUCCUUCCUGAAGAACCGUAAUGCCAUUAAUUUGGUGUUGCGGGGAAACAGGACUGUCACUUCGAAAAAUUAGAGUGUUUAAAGCAAGCUAACGCUUGAAUACAUUAGCAUGGAAUAAUGAAAUAGGACGAUCGAUCCUAUUUUGUUGGCUUCUAGGAUUGACGUA
RNAcentral lists this ribosomal RNA (215 nucleotides) under Glomeromycotina sp. RNAcentral describes it as "partial small subunit ribosomal RNA". Lineage: Eukaryota; Fungi; Glomeromycota. The record is from RNAcentral.